AUCUCUGUGGCGCAAUGGAUUGCGCGUUGGACUUCUAAUCCAAAGUCGCGGGUUCGAAUACCACCUGGGAUG
Trichonephila inaurata madagascariensis is the source of this 72-nucleotide non-coding RNA. The record is from the annotation of a GenBank genome assembly. NCBI's taxonomy places the organism in Eukaryota, Metazoa, Arthropoda, Arachnida, Araneae, Nephilidae.